AAAACAUGAGCAGAAGAUCCUAGAACUCACCCACAAGAUGAUGGAGCUGCUGACUGGAGAGGUUCCUGUAAGGUGUCAGGAUGUGGCGGUCUAUUUUUCCAUGGAGGAGUGGGAGUAUGUAGAAGGAUACAUGUGUCUGUACAAAGACUUUAUGAUGGAGGAUCCACGGCCUCUGACAUCACCAGGUGUUCUUCACCAGGCAAGCCAUCUAUAUCCAUGAUGUCUGAGUCUCUUCCACCUGCUGAAAAUGGAUGCCCCUGAGGAAGGAGUGAAAGCCGAGUCUAUGAAUGGAGCUGCAGCUGCAAGCUUGGGAUUACUAGGCCAUGAUCACUAAACCUAGAAGUGAAAGAGCUGAGAGAAGAGUCUGAUCUAUAGACAGAUCUACAGGAGGCCAUGUAUUCAGUCACUGUGUGCUUGUGUCUCCUCAGAUAGAUCCAGGAGAAGAAAUCCCCCCAAGAGAUGUCCCCGUCCUCUGUAUUCCCAGGACUGUCCAGAGGAGAAGCUCCCAGAGAACC
Molecule: long non-coding RNA, 515 nt
Organism: Bufo gargarizans (Asiatic toad)
Lineage: Eukaryota; Metazoa; Chordata; Amphibia; Anura; Bufonidae
Exons: 3
Source: RefSeq, a predicted model, not a curated record